UACAACGACGGGUCAAUGGUCAUAAUC
RNAcentral lists this small RNA (27 nucleotides) under Bombyx mori (domestic silkworm). RNAcentral's name for it is "ovarian small RNA-20058". Lineage: Eukaryota; Metazoa; Arthropoda; Insecta; Lepidoptera; Bombycidae. The record is from RNAcentral.